GAUGAAGAACGUAGCGAAAUGCGAUAAGUAGUGUGAAUUGCAGAAUUCAGUGAAUCAUCGAAUCUUUGAACGCACAUUGCGCCCUUUGGUAUUCCAAAGGGCAUGCCUGUUCGAGCGUCAUUUGUACCCUCAAGCUUUGCUUGGUGUUGGGCGUCUUGUCUCCAGUUCGCUGUAGACUCGCCUUAAAGUAAUUGGCAGCCGGCCUACUGGUUUCGGAGCGCAGCACAAGUCGCGCUCUCUUCCAGCCAAGGUCAGCAUCCACAAAGCCUUUUUUCAACUUUUGACCUCGGAUCAGGUAGGGAUACCCGCUGAACUUAAGCAUAUCAAUAAGCGGAGGA
RNAcentral lists this unclassified non-coding RNA (338 nucleotides) under soil metagenome. RNAcentral describes it as "partial contains 5.8S ribosomal RNA, internal transcribed spacer 2, and large subunit ribosomal RNA". The stretch from base 1 to 120 matches the Rfam family "5.8S ribosomal RNA", at positions 35 to 154 of the family's 154-position model. The record is from RNAcentral.